RNAcentral lists this ribosomal RNA (250 nucleotides) under uncultured bacterium. RNAcentral describes it as "partial 16S ribosomal RNA". It matches the Rfam family "Bacterial small subunit ribosomal RNA", at positions 524 to 775 of the family's 1533-position model. The record is from RNAcentral.
UACGUAGGGGACAAGCGUUGUCCGGAUUUAUUGGGUUUAAAGGGUGCGCAGGUGGCUUUGUAAGUCAGUGGUGAAAGUCUGCCGCUUAACGGUAGGAUUGCCAUUGAUACUGCGGAGCUUGAGUUUGGAUGAGGUAGGCGGAAUGAGUAGUGUAGCGGUGAAAUGCAUAGAUAUUGAGGAACGCCAGUGGCGAAGGCGGCUAACUGGACCGGAACUGACGCUGAGGCAAAAAAGCGUGGGGAGCAAACAG